Molecule: ribosomal RNA, 244 nt
Filed under: uncultured Lactobacillus sp.
Lineage: Bacteria; Bacillati; Bacillota; Bacilli; Lactobacillales; Lactobacillaceae
Description: partial 16S ribosomal RNA
Rfam family: Bacterial small subunit ribosomal RNA
Source: RNAcentral
UGGGUAACCUGCCCAAGAGAUCGGGAUAACACCUGGAAACAGAUGCUAAUACCGGAUAACAACAGAUGAUGCCUAUCAACUGUUUAAAAGAUGGUUCUGCUAUCACUUAUAGAUGGAUCCGCGCUGCAUUAGCUAGUUGGUAAGGUAACGGCUUACCAAGGCAACGAUGCGUAGCCGACCUGAGAGGGUGAUCGGCCACACUGGAACUGAGACACGGUCCAGACUCCUACGGGAGGCAGCAGGU